RNAcentral lists this long non-coding RNA (1086 nucleotides) under Apteryx rowi (Okarito brown kiwi). RNAcentral describes it as "lncRNA (ENSARWG00000007612.1)". Lineage: Eukaryota; Metazoa; Chordata; Aves; Apterygiformes; Apterygidae. The record is from RNAcentral.
AUGGCGGCUGCGGCCGGGCGCGAUCGGAAACCGCUGGGGAGAAACGAACCCGGGGAGCCGCACGAUAAACCUGCGAGCGGCUUCCCCGCUGCGGCCGGUACCGGAACGGCCCCUUCCUCGUCUCCAAGGCGGAAAGCCCCGGCGGCGCGGGCGGGCAGGGAGAUCCCCCCUCUGCGACGUGGGAUGCUGCCCCCUCCUCGGGCGCUCCGCGGAGAGGGACCGGCACGGCCGGAGGGAGCAGCUCCCCAAAAGGCACUAAACAGCAGGGAGAGGGGAUGCGUCGCCCUCCCGGUCCGGCUGCCGGCGGUUGGGGGGGAUGUUUCCCCUGGGGGAGGCCGGGCAGGGGAGGGAGGCUUGCGUCGGCGUCUCGCGCGAUAUCCGACAGCCGCUCGGACGCGGCCGUCUCCGGAGCCAGCAACGAGCCGUCUAAGUGCCGGUGCGGGGCGCCGGGGGGCUCCGGCCCCUGCCAGCCCCGAGGCCGCCAGCCUUCCUCCCCGCGGGGCCGGGAGCCGCAGCGCUGCGGCGCCCGCUGCUGCUCGAGGCGGCCCGCCUGCGGCUCGGUGCUUUGCGGCUGAGCAGUGCCCGGCGCCCCGGCCCGGCCGCGGAGGCUCCCGACGAGACCCCCGACCUGCCCCGCGGGCGUCUUCCUCCUCGGGGGGCAUCAGCGUGGAAACGGGAUCUCCACUCCCCGGCAAAGCGCCCAGCCGUCGUUUUCGACCCUGCCCCACACCCAGCGGCGCGAGGAAGAGCCGUUCCCGUUCCCGACUCCUGCCAAGAGCUCAAGCUGCAGGAUUUAUUUGGCUUGCGCGCGCAGAAACCCCCCCGCGCCGCAGCAGCGGGAGGUUAAAGGGCAGCGAUGGCCGGAGCCGGAGCAGAUGGACUAAACGAGGUGCCUCGAGGUGGCAACGGCAGCAGCGCUUCCUGAUCCCCAUGCCGCUUCCUUCCCUUUCCCUCGGCGCGCGGCUCCCUUCCGUCCCCUCUGUCGGCGCUGGCUCCGCCGCGGGGCUCCCGUCGCUCCCUUUCGGGCCCGGCCGCUUGCGCCUCUCUGCACGGUGCGCCGGGAACCCGAAGCACCCGGCGCCCUAA